RNAcentral lists this ribosomal RNA (722 nucleotides) under uncultured organism. RNAcentral describes it as "bacterial SSU rRNA". It matches the Rfam family "Bacterial small subunit ribosomal RNA", at positions 8 to 734 of the family's 1533-position model. The record is from RNAcentral.
AGAGUUUGAUCCUGGCUCAGGAUGAACGCUAGCGGCAGGCCUAAUACAUGCAAGUCGAGGGGUAUAUUACUUUCGGGUAAUAGAGACCGGCGAACGGGUGCGUAACGCGUAUGCAACUUACCUUUUACUGGGGGAUAGCCCGGGGAAACUCGGAUUAAUACCCCAUGGUAUUGUUUGAGGGCAUCUGAAGACAAUUAAAGAUUUAUCGGUAAAAGAUGGGCAUGCGUAAGAUUAGCUAGUUGGUGUGGUAAUGGCACACCAAGGCGACGAUCUUUAGGGGGUCUGAGAGGAUGAUCCCCCACACUGGUACUGAGAUACGGACCAGACUCCUACGGGAGGCAGCAGUAGGGAAUAUUGGUCAAUGGACGAGAGUCUGAACCAGCCAUGCCGCGUGCAGGAAGACGGCCUUCUGGGUUGUAAACUGCUUUUAUACGGGAAGAAAAGGCCCAUGCGUGGGACAUUGCCGGUACCGUACGAAUAAGCACCGGCUAACUCCGUGCCAGCAGCCGCGGUAAUACGGAGGGUGCAAGCGUUGUCCGGAUUUAUUGGGUUUAAAGGGUACGUAGGCGGCUUUUUAAGUCAGUGGUGAAAUCCCGCAGCUUAACUGUGGAACUGCCAUUGAUACUGGAAAGCUUGAGUAUUGUUAAGGUAGGCGGAAUGAUGGUGUAGCGGUGAAAUGCAUAGAUACCAUCAGGACACGAUGCGAAGGCAGCUUACUGGGC